UACGUAGGGGGCGAGCGUUGUCCGGAAUUAUUGGGCGUAAAGAGCGUGUAGGCGGCCAGGUAGGUCUGCUGUGAAAACUCGAGGCUCAACCUCGAGACGUCGGCGGAAACCAUCUGGCUAGAGUCCGGAAGAGGAGAGUGGAAUUCCUGGUGUAGCGGUGAAAUGCGCAGAUAUCAGGAAGAACACCCGUGGCGAAGGCGGCUCUCUGGGACGGCACUGACGCUGAGACGCGAAAGCGUGGGGAGCGAACAGG
RNAcentral lists this ribosomal RNA (253 nucleotides) under uncultured bacterium. RNAcentral's name for it is "partial 16S ribosomal RNA". It matches the Rfam family "Bacterial small subunit ribosomal RNA", at positions 524 to 776 of the family's 1533-position model. The record is from RNAcentral.